UGGGGAAUAUUGCACAAUGGGCGCAAGCCUGAUGCAGCCAUGCCGCGUGUAUGAAGAAGGCCUUCGGGUUGUAAAGUACUUUCAGUCGGGAGGAAGGUGGUAAGGUUAAUAACCUUAUCAAUUGACGUUACCUACAGAAUAAGCACCGGCUAACUCCGUGCCAGCAGCCGCGGUAAUACGGAGGGUGCAAGCGUUAAUCGGAAUUACUGGGCGUAAAGCGCACGCAGGCGGCUGAUUGAGUCAGAUGUGAAAUCCCCGGGCUUAACCCGGGAAUUGCAUCUGAUACUGGUCAGCUAGAGUCUUGUAGAGGGGGGUAGAAUUCCAUGUGUAGCAGUGAAAUGCGUAGAGAUGUGGAGGAAUACCGGUGGCGAAGGCGGCCCCCUGGACAAAGACUGACGCUCAGGUGCGAAAGCGUGGGGAGCAAACAGG
This 429-nucleotide ribosomal RNA is filed under the name Chloroflexota bacterium. Its description in RNAcentral is "Chloroflexi bacterium partial 16S ribosomal RNA". It matches the Rfam family "Bacterial small subunit ribosomal RNA", at positions 355 to 776 of the family's 1533-position model. Lineage: Bacteria; Bacillati; Chloroflexota. The record is from RNAcentral.